CAAGUGACCCCGGUUUACCACCGGGAUGUUCAUAACCCUUUGUUGUCCGACUCUGUUGCCUCCGGGGCGACCCUGCCUUCGGGCGGGGGCUCCGGGUGGACACUUCAAACUCUUGCGUAACUUUGCAGUCUGAGUAAACUUAUAAUAAUU
RNAcentral lists this unclassified non-coding RNA (150 nucleotides) under uncultured Cladosporium. Its description in RNAcentral is "sequence contains ITS1". The record is from RNAcentral. Lineage: Eukaryota; Fungi; Ascomycota; Dothideomycetes; Cladosporiales; Cladosporiaceae.